GUGUAUACUAGGUUUGCUCAUAGCUUGUGGGGAAUAUCUACAUUUCCAGGAAUACCACGGUAUGCUGAUCGGAUCGGCGCUCUCACUCUCCAAGACUGGGAACCAGGACAUCUAAGCCUUUGAUAAACUGAAGCGCACCACCUCAAAGGAUUUAUUAGAAAGCCGAGGUGGGAAUGCAAGCAAUCGUCCUAGGAGGGAGCUGAUUGCAGAAUUGACAGAGCUGGACCAGAGCUUGACCAUGGC
Non-coding RNA from Pelobates cultripes (western spadefoot toad), 243 nucleotides. The record is from the annotation of a GenBank genome assembly. NCBI's taxonomy places the organism in Eukaryota, Metazoa, Chordata, Amphibia, Anura, Pelobatidae.